RNAcentral lists this unclassified non-coding RNA (177 nucleotides) under uncultured Phialophora. RNAcentral's name for it is "sequence contains ITS2". The record is from RNAcentral. Lineage: Eukaryota; Fungi; Ascomycota; Leotiomycetes. RNAcentral also lists the same sequence under 1 other name.
UCACCCCUCAAGCCCGGCUUGUUGUUGGACGCGGCGGCGGCCUCUUCGCGCCCCGCCCGUCUCAAAGAUAAUGACGGCGUCUGUGAGGACUCCUGUACACUGAGCUUUCGGGCACGUACUAGGCCAGCACUCCAGACACCGGUCACCGUCUCUUUACUGGGACACUUUUUACCACAA